Molecule: ribosomal RNA, 429 nt
Filed under: Bacteroidota bacterium
Lineage: Bacteria; Pseudomonadati; Bacteroidota
Description: Bacteroidetes bacterium partial 16S ribosomal RNA
Rfam family: Bacterial small subunit ribosomal RNA
Source: RNAcentral
UAGGGAAUCUUCGGCAAUGGGGGGAACCCUGACCGAGCAACGCCGCGUGAGUGAAGAAGGUUUUCGGAUCGUAAAGCUCUGUUGUUAAGGAAGAACGAGUGUGAGAAUGGAAAGUUCAUACUGUGACGGUACUUAACCAGAAAGGGACGGCUAACUACGUGCCAGCAGCCGCGGUAAUACGUAGGUCCCGAGCGUUGUCCGGAUUUAUUGGGCGUAAAGCGAGCGCAGGCGGUUAGAUAAGUCUGAAGUUAAAGGCAGUGGCUCAACCAUUGUAGGCUUUGGAAACUGUUUAACUUGAGUGCAGAAGGGGAGAGUGGAAUUCCAGUGGGAGCGGUGAAAUGCGUAGAUAUAUGGAGGAACACCGGUGGCGAAAGCGGCUCUCUGGUCUGUAACUGACGCUGAGGCUCGAAAGCGUGGGGAGCGAACAGG